RNAcentral lists this long non-coding RNA (500 nucleotides) under Dasypus novemcinctus (nine-banded armadillo). Its description in RNAcentral is "lncRNA (ENSDNOG00000050929.1)". The record is from RNAcentral. Lineage: Eukaryota; Metazoa; Chordata; Mammalia; Cingulata; Dasypodidae.
UGCUCCAGGUUCUUGUUGGCAACUAUUAUCAUCGAACAAGAAAAAAUUUGGGAGUCAUUUCUGAAAAGAGUUAGGAACCUUGGAAGAUUUGACAGCCUCCCGAGAGGGGCAGAAAUGUGCCUGAGUGAGGGUGCAGAGGAAGGAAAAGACCAUGGUGAACUCUGAAAGAGAGGAAAUGAAAGCAACAGGCAAAUCUCUGAAGGCAGAAAAGACAUAUAGGAUGGCUUGAAGGCAAAAGAACUGGAAGAUGAAAGAAGAUAUUUCUGUGUGAAAGGACCAUGUAAAAAGGAAGGAGCUUUUAAAGAGCCCGCUAGACUUGAGGCAUGUGGUGAUGCCUUCAGAACUACUGAAUCAUUCUAGAGCGGGCAGAAAGAGGGAGCUGGGCUGAUCCAGGUUAGAAAUAAAUCUCAAACACAUUCACACAUGCACACACACACACGCAAUAACACACAUACUCUCACACACAUUUGUUCUUAAACAAAUACAGGGUUGUACAAGCA